This is a long non-coding RNA of Grammomys surdaster, 426 nucleotides long. RefSeq lists it as uncharacterized. The record is from RefSeq and is a predicted model, not a curated record. The transcript is spliced from 2 exons. NCBI's taxonomy places the organism in Eukaryota, Metazoa, Chordata, Mammalia, Rodentia, Muridae.
AGUUUUUACUUUGGGCUAAUGCAUACCUGUUUGUUAUGGUCAAAAGAGGUAUAGAGUACAAGCUGUGUGUCUGCAAUAACCUGCCUCUGCUUCUCCAAGGAAACAGAAUGUAGAUGCUGACUGAGGUCCCAGGUAACAGAGCCCUAUGACUCUACACUGCCAUCACCAGGAUACCAAGCAGGGAUAAAAGACUGAAAUCCGAAGAGUUGAAGCAGCAGCAGGAGAGAUCUUGGAAACCAAGGAACUCUACAGAUGCUCUGUCCACCUGCUGUCUACAAGCACCACCCACGAGCGUCCAUCUCAUCCACAUUCCGUUACAGACUUCUGCUCCUACCAAAAUCGGCAGUGGUCUUUCAGAGCUUGAUAUAGUUAAGAACAGUGACCCUGAUGUGACAGCAAUAAUAAAGUGUAUAAAGCUUUCUUUCA